GGGUCAGUAGGUUGGUCGUGCCACCGGUACGUACUGGUCUCACUGAUUCCUCCUUCCUGAAGAACCGUAAUGCCAUUAAUUUGGUGUUGCGGGGAAACAGGACUGUUACUUUGAAAAAAUUAGAGUGUUUAAAGCAAGCUAACGCUUGAAUACAUUAGCAUAGAAUAAUGAAAUAGGACGAUCGAUCCUAUUUUGUUGGUUACUAAGAUUGACGUA
RNAcentral lists this ribosomal RNA (216 nucleotides) under Glomeromycotina sp. Its description in RNAcentral is "partial small subunit ribosomal RNA". The stretch from base 40 to 216 matches the Rfam family "Eukaryotic small subunit ribosomal RNA", at positions 686 to 864 of the family's 1831-position model. Lineage: Eukaryota; Fungi; Glomeromycota. The record is from RNAcentral.